This 253-nucleotide ribosomal RNA is filed under the name uncultured bacterium. RNAcentral describes it as "partial 16S ribosomal RNA". It matches the Rfam family "Bacterial small subunit ribosomal RNA", at positions 524 to 776 of the family's 1533-position model. The record is from RNAcentral.
UACAGAGGUCCCAAGCGUUGUUCGGAUUCACUGGGCGUAAAGGGUGCGUAGGCGGUUGGGUAAGUCUGGCGUGAAAUCUCCGAGCCUAACUCGGAAACUGCGUCGGAUACUAUUCAACUCGAGGAAUGGAGGGGAGACUGGAAUUCUCGGUGUAGCAGUGAAAUGCGUAGAUAUCGAGAGGAACACCAGUGGCGAAGGCGAGUCUCUGGACAUUUCCUGACGCUGAGGCACGAAAGCCAGGGGAGCAAACGGG